CCAAAGGCCCUCUUUAGGGCCACCUACUGCCUUUUUAAGUUUGUUU
This is a regulatory RNA element of Strongyloides venezuelensis, 46 nucleotides long. It matches the Rfam family "Histone 3' UTR stem-loop". From Rfam's summary of the family: The mRNAs of metazoan histone genes lack a poly-A tail. 3' end processing occurs at a site between a highly conserved stem-loop (modelled by this family) and a purine rich region around 20 nts downstream (the histone downstream element, or HDE). The stem-loop is bound by a 31 kDa stem-loop binding protein (SLBP - also termed the histone hairpin binding protein, or HBP). Lineage: Eukaryota; Metazoa; Nematoda; Chromadorea; Rhabditida; Strongyloididae. The record is from Rfam.